GAUGAAGAACGCAGCGAAAUGCGAUAAUUAAUAUGAAUUGCAGAAUUCCGUGAAUCAUCGAGUCUUUGAACGCACAUUGCGCCUCAUGGCAUUCCGUGAGGCAUGCCCAUCUCAGCGUUAGAAAAUAUUCUCAAAUUUUAGUUUUGUGCUAAAAUUUGGAUCAUGUCAAGGAAGCUAUUACUAUUAUUGUGAUCGCUCUUUGGAAAUUGAUAGGUCUUUGAGUUGCUACUCAUAGAACGUGAUGAAUCUUUCUUCGUUCUAUUGUAAUUCACUCUGGUAGUCCUAAAACUUGUAUGCCUGUGGCAUAUCUUGUAAUUUGACCUGAGAUUGGGUAGGGAUACCCGCUGAACUUAAGCAUAUCAAUAAGCGGAGGA
RNAcentral lists this unclassified non-coding RNA (374 nucleotides) under soil metagenome. RNAcentral's name for it is "partial contains internal transcribed spacer 2 and large subunit ribosomal RNA". The stretch from base 1 to 120 matches the Rfam family "5.8S ribosomal RNA", at positions 35 to 154 of the family's 154-position model. The record is from RNAcentral.